GAUGAACGCUGGCGGCGUGCCUAAUACAUGCAAGUCGAGCGAACAGACGAGGAGCUUGCUCCUCUGACGUUAGCGGCGGACGGGUGAGUAACACGUGGAUAACCUACCUAUAAGACUGGGAUAACUUCGGGAAACCGGAGCUAAUACUGGAUAAUAUAUUGAACCGCAUGGUUCAAUAGUGAAAGACGGUUUUGCUGUCACUUAUAGAUGGAUCCGCGCCGCAUUAGCUAGUUGGUAAGGUAACGGCUUACCAAGGCAACGAUGCGUAGCCGACCUGAGAGGAUGAUCGGCCACACUGGAACUGAGACACGGUCCAGACUCCUACGGGAGGCAGCAGUAGGGAAUCUUCCACAAUGGGCGAAAGCCUGACGGAGCAACGCCGCGUGAGUGAUGAAGGUCUUCGGAUCGUAAAACUCUGUUAUUAGGGAAGAACAAAUGUAUAAUUAACUAUGCACGUCUUGACGGUACCUAAUCAGAAAGCCACGGCUAACUUCGUG
This 497-nucleotide ribosomal RNA is filed under the name uncultured bacterium. Its description in RNAcentral is "partial 16S ribosomal RNA". It matches the Rfam family "Bacterial small subunit ribosomal RNA", at positions 28 to 507 of the family's 1533-position model. The record is from RNAcentral.